UAGCUAGUUGGUGAGGUAAAGGCUUACCAAGGCGACGAUCUGUAGCGGGUCUGAGAGGAUGAUCCGCCACACUGGAACUGAGGCACGGUCCAGACUCCUACGGGAGGCAGCAGUGGGGAAUUUUGGACAAUGGGGGCAACCCUGAUCCAGCCAUGCCGCGUGAGUGAAGAAGGCCUUCGGGUUGUAAAGCUCUUUCGGCCGGGAAGAAAUCGCAUGGGCCAAUACCCUGUGUGGAUGACGGUACCGGAAUAAGAAGCACCGGCUAACUACGUGCCAGCAGCCGCGGUAAUACGUAGGGUGCGAGCGUUAAUCGGAAUUACUGGGCGUAAAGCGUGCGCAGGCGGUUUUGUAAGACAGGCGUGAAAUCCCCGGGCUUAACCUGGGAACUGCGUUUGUGACUGCAAGGCUAGAGUACGGCAGAGGGGGGUGGAAUUCCACGUGUAGCAGUGAAAUGCGUAGAGAUGUGGAGGAACACCAAUGGCGAAGGCAGCCCCCUGGGUCGAUACUGACGCUCAUGCACGAAAGCGUGGGUAGCAAACAGGAUUAGAUACCCUGGUAGUCCACGCCCUAAACUAUGUCAACUAGGUGUUGGGUGGGUAAAACCAUUUAGUACCGUAGCUAACGCGUGAAGUUGACCGCCUGGGGAGUACGGCCGCAAGGUUAAAACUCAAAGGAAUUGACGGGGACCCGCACAAGCGGUGGAUGAUGUGGAUUAAUUCGAUGCAACGCGAAAAACCUUGCCUACCCUUGACAUGCCAGGAACUUGCCAGAGAUGGCUUGGUGCCCGAAAGGGAGCCUGGACACAGGUGCUGCAUGGCUGUCGUCAGCUCGUGUCGUGAGAUGUUGGGUUAAGUCCCGCAACGAGCGCAACCCUUGUCGUUAAUUGCCAUCAUUUAGUUGGGCACUUUAACGAGACUGCCGGUGACAAACCGGAGGAAGGUGGGGAUGACGUCAAGUCCUCAUGGCCCUUAUGGGUAGGGCUUCACACGUCAUACAAUGGUCGGUACAAAGGGUUGCCAAGCCGCGAGGCGGUGCCAAUCCCAGAAAGCCGAUCGUAGUCCGGAUUGCAGGCUGCAACUCGCCUGCAUGAAGUCGGAAUCGCUAGUAAUCGUGGAUCAGCAUGUCACGGUGAAUACGUUCCCGGGUCUUGUACACACCGCCCGUCACACCAUGGGAGCGGGUUCCGCCAGAAGUAGGUAGCCUAACCGCAAGGGGGGCGCUUACCACGGCGGGGUUCGUGACUGGGGUGAAGUCGUAACAAGGUAGCCGUAGGGGAACCUGCGGCUG
RNAcentral lists this ribosomal RNA (1287 nucleotides) under metagenome. RNAcentral describes it as "bacterial SSU rRNA". It matches the Rfam family "Bacterial small subunit ribosomal RNA", at positions 242 to 1520 of the family's 1533-position model. The record is from RNAcentral.